This is a long non-coding RNA of Patiria miniata (bat star), 258 nucleotides long. RefSeq lists it as uncharacterized. Lineage: Eukaryota; Metazoa; Echinodermata; Asteroidea; Valvatida; Asterinidae. The record is from RefSeq and is a predicted model, not a curated record. The transcript is spliced from 2 exons.
GCUGACAUGUGUAAACAAACACGUGAGUGUACACACAGAAUUUCGGCAGGAAAAUACUCAAAACUACCUAGAAAUAAUACUAAAAAGACAACAGGAAUUUUCUAGACAAAAAUGCCAGAUCUCUAGGAGGAUAUAGCUGAUUGAAAUCAACCAGUCUGAGUUAGUUCUCUUGGUUGGGGAGUUAUUUGGGUGGUAACGAAGCAGUGGACCAGGCAAUCAAUCGAGCACACCAUUGAGACAUGGAUCAACCUCCACUGA